This 301-nucleotide ribosomal RNA is filed under the name uncultured bacterium. RNAcentral's name for it is "partial 16S ribosomal RNA". It matches the Rfam family "Bacterial small subunit ribosomal RNA", at positions 509 to 809 of the family's 1533-position model. The record is from RNAcentral.
CAGUCGCCGCGGUAAAACGUAGGGUGCGAGCGUUAAUCGGAAUUACUGGGCGUAAAGCGUGCGCAGGCGGUUCGUUAAGACAGAUGUGAAAUCCCCGGGCUCAACCUGGGAAUUGCAGUGGAUACUGGAUCACUAGAGUGUGGUAGAGGAUAGUGGAAUUUCCGGUGUAGCAGUGAAAUGCGUAGAGAUGUGGAGGAACACCAGUGGCGAAGGCGACUCUCUGGUCUGUAACUGACGCUGAGGAGCGAAAGCGUGGGGAGCGAACAGGAUUAGAUACCCCUGUAGUCCCUGUCUCUUAUAU